AAAAACAAAAUUGUUUGAAUAAAGUUCUUGGAUAGAUUAGAAGGUAACACAUGCAAUUUUUUAGAUUGGAGUAAGAACUAUAUCCUCUAAAUUAAUCAAUAGCGAAUCGAGAUUCCUUGUUUGGUCCAGAGCGCAUAUGUGGCCAUGUCUUUUCUUCUCUUGGUGUUAAAUAACGCCUUAAAAUUUUAAGUGAGGAAGAGAAAUGAAAUAUAUUUCGAGACUAGUAAAAUGAAA
This 234-nucleotide long non-coding RNA is filed under the name Lathyrus oleraceus (garden pea). Its description in RNAcentral is "Pisum sativum (pea) long non-coding RNA (PSAT_LNC037563)". The record is from RNAcentral. Lineage: Eukaryota; Viridiplantae; Streptophyta; Magnoliopsida; Fabales; Fabaceae.